Molecule: ribosomal RNA, 253 nt
Filed under: uncultured bacterium
Lineage: Bacteria
Description: partial 16S ribosomal RNA
Rfam family: Bacterial small subunit ribosomal RNA
Source: RNAcentral
UACGUAGGUGGCAAGCGUUGUCCGGAUUUACUGGGUGUAAAGGGCGUGCAGCCGGGAAGACAAGUCAGAUGUGAAAUCCCGCGGCUCAACCGCGGAACUGCAUUUGAAACUGUUUUUCUUGAGUACCGGAGAGGUCAUCGGAAUUCCUUGUGUAGCGGUGAAAUGCGUAGAUAUAAGGAAGAACACCAGUGGCGAAGGCGGCUCUCUGGUCUGCAACUGACGCUGAGGCUCGAAAGCAUGGGUAGCGAACAGG